RNAcentral lists this unclassified non-coding RNA (361 nucleotides) under Hevea brasiliensis (rubber tree). The record is from RNAcentral. Lineage: Eukaryota; Viridiplantae; Streptophyta; Magnoliopsida; Malpighiales; Euphorbiaceae.
CUUUUUUGAGACUUCAGGCCUUUCUCUUGUUAGUAGUUGCUCUUGCCCCUACGAGGUAGAGUGGUGUGGUUCUCCAUCCCUCCUCCUGUUUGUGGGUUGCUCUCCUCCACUUCUAGGAGACUGUAGAUAGUUUCUUGGUUCAUGGUUCUUGGCAGAUUGGAGCUUCAACGGAGAGAGAAACCUGUCUUAAUCAGCCUUCCUUUUUAGUAGCUUUUAGAUUUUUCUUUCUCCACAAGAGUGGUUCAAUGGACAUGAUUUAUGUCCUGCGUGGGGCUGGCUUGCUACAUUGCAAUGGACGUCUGUUUGUGCAGAGAGGUUGCAUGCACUUCUUCUAGCCUCCCUCAUCUUUAGUGAAGAAUGG